RNAcentral lists this ribosomal RNA (478 nucleotides) under uncultured bacterium. RNAcentral describes it as "bacterial SSU rRNA". It matches the Rfam family "Bacterial small subunit ribosomal RNA", at positions 29 to 507 of the family's 1533-position model. The record is from RNAcentral.
AAUGAACGCUGGCGGCGUGCCUAACACAUGCAAGUCGAACGCGAAAGCCCGCAAGGGUGAGUAGAGUGGCGCACGGGUGAGUAAUGCACAAGUAUCUGCCCUUUUGUGAAGAAUACCUUUGAGAAAUCAAAGUUAAUACUGCAUAAGUCGGGAAACCGAGAAAGGUGGCCUCUAGCUACCGCAGAAGGAAGAGCUUGUGUCCUAUCAGCUAGUUGGUGGGGUAAAGGCCUACCAAGGCGAAGACGGGUAGUCGGCCUGAGAGGGUGAACGACCACAAUGGGACUGAGACACGGCCCAUACUCCUACGGGAGGCAGCAGUGGGGAAUAUUGCACAAUGGGCGAAAGCCUGAUGCAGCGACGCCGCGUGGAGGAAGAAGGUCUUCGGAUUGUAAACUCCUGUUGAGUGGGAAGAAAGACGGUUGGUUAAUACCCAACUGGGAUGACGGUACCACUCGAGGAAGCACCGGCAAACUUCGUG